UCCCAGGUGGCUUAGUGGUGGUAAAGAACCUGCCUGCCUGUGCAUGAGACCCAGGUUUGAUCCCUGGGUUGGGAA
RNAcentral lists this transfer RNA (75 nucleotides) under Bos taurus (domestic cattle). It matches the Rfam family "tRNA". From Rfam's summary of the family: Transfer RNA (tRNA) molecules are approximately 80 nucleotides in length. RNAcentral also lists the same sequence under 5 other names. Lineage: Eukaryota; Metazoa; Chordata; Mammalia; Artiodactyla; Bovidae. The record is from Rfam by way of RNAcentral.